This 240-nucleotide ribosomal RNA is filed under the name uncultured bacterium. Its description in RNAcentral is "partial 16S ribosomal RNA". It matches the Rfam family "Bacterial small subunit ribosomal RNA", at positions 92 to 334 of the family's 1533-position model. The record is from RNAcentral.
CGACCGGCGCACGGGUGCGUAACGCGUAUGCAACCUACCUUUAACAGGGGAUAACACUGAGAAAUUGGUACUAAUACCCCAUAAUAUCAUAGAAGGCAUCUUUUAUGGUUGAAAAUUCCGAUGGUUAGAGAUGGGCAUGCGUUGUAUUAGCUAGUUGGUGGGGUAACGGCUCACCAAGACGAUGAUAGGUAGGGGUUCUGAGAGGAAGGUCCCCCACAUUGGAACUGAGACACGGUCCAA